UUGAAAGCUAAAUCUUAAUUUCUAUUCGAUCUUUGGCACUGGAAUGAAGUCUGGACGAAACCAGGACAACAGCAUCCUGCUGCUGCUAGGAUUGGCACCAAUUGCUAAAACAUGCCUCCUGAAAUUACUGGAAAUAGUUGUCGGUCUCCCCUAAAUUCGAGGAUGGAUCAACAAACAAGAUUGAUAAUAAGGAUAUCUAUCUGAAAUUCACAUAACAUGACACCACCUCCCACAUUACAACUAGCUCAUUUCUUGCAUGCUUUGCAAGUUACAACACUGAUGUUUCGUGUCUGUACAAACAGUCAAACAAAGAACAUUACUUCACUCACAGAAGAUCAAGUUGCCUAGUAACAAUUUUAUGAUUGUACAAGUUACAUGCCCACAGCUACCUGCCAAGUUUUUAUUUCAAUUUUUCUUGAAGCACUCCAAAGCAGCAAACGACGAUACCCCUGCAUGACUCCUGCUCGCCACCACCAUCCCUCCCCCCCCCCCAACCACCCAUAUUUUCCCUCUUGCCUUCCUCACUAUCCUGCAUACGCACCUCACCACCAUCUCCAACUCAUCCGAGAUCCCAAAUCCCCCAUUAUCAUGAUCCAACCUCAGGCCCAAUGCCACACCCAGUUCCCUCGACAUCAUAAAGGCAUUCAGGUGCUGCUCAGCAUUAAAGUGGCCACCUGAGAACAGGCACCCUAAGGCCUAAACCACAA
This 707-nucleotide long non-coding RNA is filed under the name Phoenix dactylifera (date palm). Its description in RNAcentral is "long non-coding RNA (PDAC_LNC015570)". Lineage: Eukaryota; Viridiplantae; Streptophyta; Magnoliopsida; Arecales; Arecaceae. The record is from RNAcentral.